Molecule: ribosomal RNA, 2402 nt
Filed under: human gut metagenome
Description: bacterial LSU rRNA
Rfam family: Bacterial large subunit ribosomal RNA
Source: RNAcentral
CGACAUUAAUUAAUCUCUUGUGAGUAUCCCGAGUAAGGCGGGGCACGUGAAACCCUGUCUGAAUCCACCGGGACCAUCCGGCAAGGCUAAAUACUAGUCAGUGACCGAUAGUGAACGAGUACAGUGAUGGAAAGGCGAAAAGAACAGUGAGAAGCUGAGUGAAAUAGACCCUGAAACCGUUAGCUUACAAUCAGUCAGAGCACUAUUAAUAGUGUGAUGGCGUGCCUGUUGAAGAAUGAGCCGGCGAGUUAUCUUAUGUUGCGAGGUUAAGGAGUUAACAUCCGGAGCCAUAGCGAAAGCGAGUUUGAAAAGAGCGUUAAGUAACAUGCGAUAGACCCGAACCUUGGUGAUCUAACCUUGACCAGGAUGAAGCGUGGGUAACACUACGUGGAGGUCCGAACCAACCGAUGUUGAAAAAUCGGUGGAUGAGUUGAGGUUAGGGGUGAAAUGCCAAUCGAACCAAGAGCUAGCUGGUUCUCCCCGAAAUGCGUUUAGGCACAGCGUCAAAUUUAUCUUACAGGAGGUAGAGCACUGGUUUUGUGCGGGCGACGAAAUGUUGUACCAAACAAUGUCAAACUCCGAAUGCCUGUAAUGUCAUUAUUUGGCAGUGAGGCUAUGAGUGAUAAGAUCCAUGGCCAAGAGGGAAACAGCCCAGAACGCCAGUUAAGGUCCCUAAUAUAUGCUAAGUGGUUAAGGAGGUAAAGUUGCUGAGACAACCAGGAGGUUGGCUUAGAAGCAGCCAUUCCUUGAAAGAGUGCGUAAUAGCUCACUGGUCAAGCGACUUCGCGCCGAAAAUACACCGGGACUCAAGCAUAUAACCGAAACUGCGUCAUAUAGUUUACUAUAUGGGUAGGGGAGCGUUCUAUAUUAGGAUGAAGUAAGAUCGAAAGGACUUAUGGACGAGAUAGAAGUGAGAAUGUCGGCAUAAGUAGCGAAAACAUUGGUGAGAAUCCAAUGCACCGAAAACCUAAGGUUUCCCACGGCAGGCUCGUCCGCGUGGGGUUAGUCGGAUCCUAAGCUGAGGCCGAAAGGCGUAGGCGAUGGGCAUCAGGUUGAUAUUCCUGAACUAUCUAAUAAUCGUUAUUAGAAGCGGAGGGACGCAGUAGGAUAUGCAAGCAGCCGAACGGAAGUGGCUGUAAAGAUGUGUAGGUAGAACAGGUAGGAAAAUCCGCUUGUUCGUUAUAAACUGAGGCAUCGAGUAGGACAUUCUACGGAAUGGAAGUUGCAGAUUCCACACUGCCAAGAAAAACUUCGCUAUCGAGACUAUUAGGUAUCCGUACCGUAAACCGCCACAGGUAGGUUGGUAGAAAAUACUAAGGUGCGCGAGAUAACUCUCGCUAAGGAACUCGGCAAAAUCACCUCGUAACUUCGGGAGAAGAGGUACCCUGGUAGAGUGAAGCGGUUUACCCGUGGAGCUUGAUAGGGUCGCAGUGAAUUGGCCCAUGCGACUGUUUACCAAAAACACAGGUCUCUGCUAAGUCGAUCAAGACGAUGUAUAGGGGCUGACGCCUGCCCGGUGUCGGAAGGUUACGCGGACAUGUUAGACAUUAGUCAAAGCAUAGAAGCUAAGCCCCGAUGAACGGCGGCCGUAACUAUAACGGUCCUAAGGUAGCGAAAUUCCUUGUCAGGUAAGUUCUGACCCGCACGAAUGGCGUAACGAUAUGGGCGCUGUCUCGGCGAGAGGCUCGGCGAAAUUGGAUUAUCCGUGAAGAUACGGAUUACGUGUACCAGGACAGAAAGACCCUAUUGAGCUUUACUGUAGCUUGAAAUUGAAUUCGGGUUCUUAUUGUGCAGUAUAGGUGGGAGACUAUGAAACUAGGACGUCAGUUUUAGUGGAGUCAUCGUUGAGAUACCACUCUGUAAUAAUUUGAAUUCUAACCUUGAUCCCUCAAACAACAGGGCAAGGAACAGUUUCUGGUAGGCAGUUUGACUGGGGCGGUCGCCUCCUAAAAUGUAACGGAGGCGUUCAAAGGUUCCCUCAGGUUGGUCGGAAAUCAACCGUUGAGUGUAAUAGCACAAGGGAGCUUGACUGCGAGACCUACAAGUCGAGCAGGUACGAAAGUAGGAUAUAGUGAUCCGGUGGUUCUGUAUGGAAGGGCCAUCGCUCAUCGGAUAAAAGUUACCAUAGGGAUAACAGGCUUAUCUCCCCCAAGAGUCCACAUCGACGGGGAGGUUUGGCACCUCGAUGUCGGCUCGUCGCAUCCUGGAGCGGUAGUACGUUCCAAGGGUUGGGCUGUUCGCCCAUUAAAGCGGCACGCGAGCUGGGUUCAGAACGUCGUGAGACAGUUCGGUCCAUAUCCGGUAUACGCGCAAGAGAUUUGAACGGAGUCUUCCUUAGUACGAGAGGACCGGGAAGAGGGGACCUCCAGUGUACGGGUUAUCGCGCCAGCGGUAAACGCCCG